Molecule: ribosomal RNA, 643 nt
Filed under: Listeria monocytogenes
Lineage: Bacteria; Bacillati; Bacillota; Bacilli; Caryophanales; Listeriaceae
Description: bacterial SSU rRNA
Rfam family: Bacterial small subunit ribosomal RNA
Source: RNAcentral
CAAGGUUGAAACUCAAAGGAAUUGACGGGGGCCCGCACAAGCGGUGGAGCAUGUGGUUUAAUUCGAAGCAACGCGAAGAACCUUACCAGGUCUUGACAUCCUUUGACCACUCUGGAGACAGAGCUUUCCCUUCGGGGACAAAGUGACAGGUGGUGCAUGGUUGUCGUCAGCUCGUGUCGUGAGAUGUUGGGUUAAGUCCCGCAACGAGCGCAACCCUUGAUUUUAGUUGCCAGCAUUUAGUUGGGCACUCUAAAGUGACUGCCGGUGCAAGCCGGAGGAAGGUGGGGAUGACGUCAAAUCAUCAUGCCCCUUAUGACCUGGGCUACACACGUGCUACAAUGGAUAGUACAAAGGGUCGCGAAGCCGCGAGGUGGAGCUAAUCCCAUAAAACUAUUCUCAGUUCGGAUUGUAGGCUGCAACUCGCCUACAUGAAGCCGGAAUCGCUAGUAAUCGUGGAUCAGCAUGCCACGGUGAAUACGUUCCCGGGCCUUGUACACACCGCCCGUCACACCACGAGAGUUUGUAACACCCGAAGUCGGUAGGGUAACCUUUAUGGAGCCAGCCGCCGAAGGUGGGACAGAUAAUUGGGGUGAAGUCGUAACAAGGUAGCCGUAUCGGAAGGUGCGGCUGGAUCACCUCCUUU